RNAcentral lists this transfer RNA (57 nucleotides) under Camelus ferus (Wild Bactrian camel). It matches the Rfam family "tRNA", at positions 9 to 63 of the family's 71-position model. From Rfam's summary of the family: Transfer RNA (tRNA) molecules are approximately 80 nucleotides in length. Their secondary structure includes four short double-helical elements and three loops (D, anti-codon, and T loops). Further hydrogen bonds mediate the characteristic L-shaped molecular structure. tRNAs have two regions of fundamental functional importance: the anti-codon, which is responsible for specific mRNA codon recognition, and the 3' end, to which the tRNAs corresponding amino acid is attached (by aminoacyl-tRNA synthetases). tRNAs cope with the degeneracy of the genetic code in two manners: having more than one tRNA (with a specific anti-codon) for a particular amino acid; and 'wobble' base-pairing, i.e. permitting non-standard base-pairing at the 3rd anti-codon position. Lineage: Eukaryota; Metazoa; Chordata; Mammalia; Artiodactyla; Camelidae. The record is from Rfam by way of RNAcentral.
AGCUCAAAUGGUAGAGCACAUGCUUAGCAUGCAUGAGGUCCUGGGAUCAAUCCCCAG